UGUCCGGUAAUUGGAAUGAGUACAAUUUAAAUCCCUUAACGAGGAACAAUUGGAGGGCAGGUCUGGUGCCAGCAGCCGCGGUAAUUCCAGCUCCAAUAGCGUAUAUUAAAGUUGUUGCAGUUAAAAAGCUCGUAGUUGGAUUUCUGGUAUGAUGCGUUUGUCCCGGCUAGCAAUAGAUCGUGUGACUUUGCGCGUCUACCAUCCUUCGCUUCAGAUGUGCUGACGUGUAAAAGCGUUAGCAGCUGUUGUGAUCUUUUACUUUGAAAAAAUUAGAGUGUUUAAAGCAGGCUUGUGCCUUGAAUACAUUAGCAUGGAAUAAUAAUAUAGGACUGGGUUCCUAUUUUGUUGGUUUUCUGGAAUCAAGUAAUGAUUGAUAGGGAUAGUUGGGGGUGCUAGUAUUCAGCGGCCAGAGGUGAAAUUCUUUGAUUCGCUGAAGACUAACUUAUGCGAAAGCAUUCACCAAGGAUGUCUUCUUUAAUCAAGAACGAAAGUUGGGGGAUCGAAGACGAUCAGAUACCGUCGUAGUCUCAACCAUAAACUAUACCGACUAGGGAUUAGCGGAAGUUGCUUUUCGACUCCGUUAGCACCUUAUGAGAAAUCAUAAGUCCUUGGGUUCUGGGGGGAGUAUGGUCGCAAGGCUGAAACUUAAAGGAAUUGACGGAAGGGCACCACCAGGAGUGGAGCCUGCGGCUUAAUUUGACACAACACGGGGAAACUUACCAGGUCCAGACACAGGGAGGAUUGACAGACUGAAGUUCUUUCUUGAUUCUGUGGGUGGUGGUGCAUGGCCGUUCUUAGUUGGUGGAGUGAUUUGUCUGGUUUAUUCCGUUAACGAACGAGACCUCGACCUGCUAAAUAGUAUGAGGUACUCCGGUACCUACGUGCUUCUUAGAGGGACUGACGGUGGUGAGCCGUAGGAAGUUCGAGGCAAUAACAGGUCUGUGAUGCCCUUAGAUGUUCUGGGCCGCACGCGCGCUACACUGAUACGUUCAUCGAGCAUACAACCUGGGUUGAGAGACUUGGGUAAUCUUUUCAAAGCGUAUCGUGCUGGGGAUAGAUCAUUGUAAUUAUUGAUCUUCAACGAGGAAUUCCUAGUAAGCGCGAGUCAUCAGCUCGCACUGAUUACGUCCCUGCCCUUUGUACACACCGCCCGUCGCUGCUACCGAUUGAAUGCAUUAGUGAGCUCCACGGACCGCUGUAUUUGUUCGCAAGGGCUUUUAUGGUGGAAUGUGGCGCAAACUUGCGCAUUUAGAGGAAGCAAAAGUCGU
Molecule: ribosomal RNA, 1268 nt
Filed under: metagenome
Description: SSU rRNA
Rfam family: Eukaryotic small subunit ribosomal RNA
Source: RNAcentral